This 378-nucleotide unclassified non-coding RNA is filed under the name plant metagenome. Its description in RNAcentral is "partial contains 5.8S ribosomal RNA, internal transcribed spacer 2, and large subunit ribosomal RNA". The stretch from base 1 to 105 matches the Rfam family "5.8S ribosomal RNA", at positions 50 to 154 of the family's 154-position model. The record is from RNAcentral.
GAAAUGCGAUAAGUAAUGUGAAUUGCAGAAUUCAGUGAAUCAUCGAAUCUUUGAACGCAGCUUGCGCUCCUUGGUAUUCCUUGCAGCAUGCCUGUUUGAGUAUCAUGAAAUCUUCAAAGUAAAUCUUUUGUUAACUCAAUUGGUUUCUACUUUGGUAUUGGAGGUCUUUGCAGCUUCACACCUGCUCCUCUUUGUUCAUUAGCUGGAUCUCAGUGUUAUGCUUGGUUCCACUCGGCGUGAUAAGUUAUCUAUCGCUGAGGACACUGUAAAAGGUGGCCAAGGUAAAUGCAGAUGAACCGCUUCUAAUAGUCCAUUGACUUGGACAAUACUUUUAUGAUCUGAUCUCAAAUCAGGUAGGACUACCCGCUGAACUUAAGC